RNAcentral lists this ribosomal RNA (588 nucleotides) under Staphylococcus aureus. RNAcentral describes it as "partial 23S ribosomal RNA". It matches the Rfam family "Bacterial large subunit ribosomal RNA", at positions 2282 to 2871 of the family's 2925-position model. Lineage: Bacteria; Bacillati; Bacillota; Bacilli; Caryophanales; Staphylococcaceae. The record is from RNAcentral.
GUCGCCUCCUAAAAGGUAACGGAGGCGCUCAAAGGUUCCCUCAGAAUGGUUGGAAAUCAUUCAUAGAGUGUAAAGGCAUAAGGGAGCUUGACUGCGAGACCUACAAGUCGAGCAGGGUCGAAAGACGGACUUAGUGAUCCGGUGGUUCCGCAUGGAAGGGCCAUCGCUCAACGGAUAAAAGCUACCCCGGGGAUAACAGGCUUAUCUCCCCCAAGAGUUCACAUCGACGGGGAGGUUUGGCACCUCGAUGUCGGCUCAUCGCAUCCUGGGGCUGUAGUCGGUCCCAAGGGUUGGGCUGUUCGCCCAUUAAAGCGGUACGCGAGCUGGGUUCAGAACGUCGUGAGACAGUUCGGUCCCUAUCCGUCGUGGGCGUAGGAAAUUUGAGAGGAGCUGUCCUUAGUACGAGAGGACCGGGAUGGACAUACCUCUGGUGUACCAGUUGUCGUGCCAACGGCAUAGCUGGGUAGCUAUGUGUGGACGGGAUAAGUGCUGAAAGCAUCUAAGCAUGAAGCCCCCCUCAAGAUGAGAUUUCCCAACUUCGGUUAUAAGAUCCCUCAAAGAUGAUGAGGUUAAUAGGUUCGAGGUGGA